This 86-nucleotide transfer RNA is filed under the name Candidatus Microgenomates bacterium. RNAcentral's name for it is "tRNA-Ser". It matches the Rfam family "tRNA". From Rfam's summary of the family: Transfer RNA (tRNA) molecules are approximately 80 nucleotides in length. Their secondary structure includes four short double-helical elements and three loops (D, anti-codon, and T loops). The record is from RNAcentral. Lineage: Bacteria; Candidatus Microgenomatota.
GGAGGAGUCGGAUAGUGGCCCAUUCCGCUUGCUUGGAAAGCAAGUAAGCCGCAAGGCUUGCGCGAGUUCGAAUCUCGCCUCCUCCG